RNAcentral lists this ribosomal RNA (445 nucleotides) under uncultured bacterium. RNAcentral describes it as "bacterial SSU rRNA". It matches the Rfam family "Bacterial small subunit ribosomal RNA", at positions 330 to 792 of the family's 1533-position model. The record is from RNAcentral.
UCCAGACUCCUACGGGAGGCAGCAGUGGGGAAUAUUGCACAAUGGGGGAAACCCUGAUGCAGCGACGCCGCGUGAGUGAAGAAGUGAUUCGUUAUGUAAAGCUCUAUCAGCAGGGAAGAAAAUGACGGUACCUGACUAAGAAGCCCCGGCUAACUACGUGCCAGCAGCCGCGGUAAUACGUAGGGGGCAAGCGUUAUCCGGAUUUACUGGGUGUAAAGGGAGCGUAGACGGCAUGGCAAGUCAGAUGUGAAAGCCCGGGGCUCAACCCCGGGACUGCAUUUGAAACUGUCAGGCUGGAGUGCAGGAGAGGUAAGUGGAAUUCCUAGUGUAGCGGUGAAAUGCGUAGAUAUUAGGAGGAACACCAGUGGCGAAGGCGGCUUACUGGACUGUAACUGACGUUGAGGCUCGAAAGCGUGGGGAGCAAACAGGAUUAGAUACCCGAGUA